Molecule: long non-coding RNA, 257 nt
Organism: Juglans regia (Persian walnut)
Lineage: Eukaryota; Viridiplantae; Streptophyta; Magnoliopsida; Fagales; Juglandaceae
Exons: 2
Source: RefSeq, a predicted model, not a curated record
AUAAUAAGAAUCAAAAUCCAGCUUGGUUGGUGAACCUAGUGAUAGGAGACCAUCUAGCUUGGUUCGGAGAGCACUUGUUGGGUUAAAGACUUUUUUGUUGCAAAAUGUUACAGCCUAAAUGCUGUACUAUUGACCUACUUGUUCGGAUGGAUCUUCACCCCAAAGUGUCCCCAUACUGCAUGUAUACAUCUGUAAGUAACUUAGUGCAACAUGGCAAAUUUAAUUGAGAGGAAUCAACAAAGAAAAGAAAAACGGGU